GGGGCGUCGUCUAAUGGCAGGACACCGGGUUUUGGUCCCGGCAGUUGGGGUUCGAAUCCCUGCGCCCCAGCA
RNAcentral lists this transfer RNA (72 nucleotides) under Fidelibacterota bacterium. RNAcentral describes it as "tRNA-Gln". It matches the Rfam family "tRNA". From Rfam's summary of the family: Transfer RNA (tRNA) molecules are approximately 80 nucleotides in length. Their secondary structure includes four short double-helical elements and three loops (D, anti-codon, and T loops). Further hydrogen bonds mediate the characteristic L-shaped molecular structure. tRNAs have two regions of fundamental functional importance: the anti-codon, which is responsible for specific mRNA codon recognition, and the 3' end, to which the tRNAs corresponding amino acid is attached (by aminoacyl-tRNA synthetases). tRNAs cope with the degeneracy of the genetic code in two manners: having more than one tRNA (with a specific anti-codon) for a particular amino acid; and 'wobble' base-pairing, i.e. permitting non-standard base-pairing at the 3rd anti-codon position. The record is from RNAcentral. Lineage: Bacteria; Pseudomonadati; Fidelibacterota.